CCUACGGGUGGCAGCAGUGAGGAAUAUUGGUCAAUGGACGAGAGUCUGAACCAGCCAAGUAGCGUGAAGGAUGACUGCCCUAUGGGUUGUAAACUUCUUUUAUAUGGGAAUAAAAUGUUCCACGUGUGGGAUUUUGUAUGUACCAUAUGAAUAAGGAUCAGCUAACUCCGUGCCAGCAGCCGCGGUAAUACGGAGGAUCCGAGCGUUAUCCGGAUUUAUUGGGUUUAAAGGGAGCGUAGGUGGAUUGUUAAGUCAGUUGUGAAAGUUUGCGGCUCAACCGUAAAAUUGCAGUUGAAACUGGCAGUCUUGAGUACAGUAGAGGUGGGCGGAAUGCGUGGUGUAGCGGUGAAAUGCUUAGAUAUCACGAAGAACUCCGAUUGCGAAGGCAGUUCACUGGACUGCAACUGACACUGAGGCUCGAAAGUGUGGGUAUCAAACAGGAUUAGAUACCCCAGUAGUC
This 460-nucleotide ribosomal RNA is filed under the name uncultured bacterium. RNAcentral's name for it is "partial 16S ribosomal RNA". It matches the Rfam family "Bacterial small subunit ribosomal RNA", at positions 338 to 795 of the family's 1533-position model. The record is from RNAcentral.